RNAcentral lists this ribosomal RNA (251 nucleotides) under uncultured beta proteobacterium. RNAcentral's name for it is "partial 16S ribosomal RNA". It matches the Rfam family "Bacterial small subunit ribosomal RNA", at positions 1147 to 1397 of the family's 1533-position model. Lineage: Bacteria; Pseudomonadati; Pseudomonadota; Betaproteobacteria. The record is from RNAcentral.
GACUGCCGGUGACAAACCGGAGGAAGGUGGGGAUGACGUCAAGUCCUCAUGGCCCUUAUAGGUGGGGCUACACACGUCAUACAAUGGCUGGUACAAAGGGUUGCCAACCCGCGAGGGGGAGCUAAUCCCAUAAAACCAGUCGUAGUCCGGAUCGCAGUCUGCAACUCGACUGCGUGAAGUCGGAAUCGCUAGUAAUCGUGGAUCAGAAUGUCACGGUGAAUACGUUCCCGGGUCUUGUACACACCGCCCGU